CCCUUAGAUGUUCUGGGCCGCACGCGCGCUACACUGAUGCAUUCAACGAGCCUAUCCUUGACUGACAGGUCCGGGUAAUCUUUGAAUCUGCAUCGUGACGGGGAUAGAUUAUUGCAAUUAUUAAUCUUCAACGAGGAAUGCCUAGUAGGCGCAAGUCAUCAGCUUGCGUCGAUUACGUCCCUGCCCUUUGUACACACCGCCCGUCGCUCCUACCGAUUGGGUGUGCUGGUGAAAUGUUCGGAUCGGCCGUUUGUCGCGGUUUCCGCGGCUCGUGGCUGAGAAGUUCAUUAAACCCUCCCACCUAGAGGAAGGAGAAGUCGUAACA
This 325-nucleotide ribosomal RNA is filed under the name uncultured eukaryote. RNAcentral describes it as "partial 18S ribosomal RNA". It matches the Rfam family "Eukaryotic small subunit ribosomal RNA", at positions 1470 to 1796 of the family's 1831-position model. The record is from RNAcentral.